AGCCUGAACGCUGGCGGCGUGGCUAAGACAUACAAGUCGUACGGAGGUAGCAAUACCUCAGUGGCGAACGGGUGAGUAAUGAAUCGUUAACGUGCCCCGGACUCUGGGAUAGCCGGUCGAAAGGCCGGGUAAUACCAGAUGAUAUACCUUUAUCGCAUGAUAGAGGUCUCAAAGGUCCGCCGGUCUGGGAGCGGGCGAUUUCGUAUCAGCUAGUUGGUGAGGUAACGGCUCACCAAGGCGACGACGCGUAGCCGGACUGAGAGGUUGGCCGGCCACAUUGGGACUGAGACACUGCCCGGACUCCUACGGGGGGCUGCAGUAACGAAUCUUCCGCAAUGCACGAAAGUGUGACGGAGCGACGCCGCGUGUGGGACGAAGCCCCUUCGGGGGUGUAAACCACUGUCAGAGGAAAGAAAGUUCUGAUCUACCUCAGAGGAAGAGGCGGCUAACUCUGCGCCAGCAGCCGC
Molecule: ribosomal RNA, 467 nt
Filed under: uncultured bacterium
Lineage: Bacteria
Description: SSU rRNA
Rfam family: Bacterial small subunit ribosomal RNA
Source: RNAcentral